AAGGAGGGGAUGACGUCAAGUCAUCAUGGCCCUUACGCCCAGGGCUACACACGUGCUACAAUGGCGUAUACAGAGUGUUGCAAGCUAGUGAUAGCAAGCCAAUCACAAAAAGUACGUCUCAGUUCGGAUUGCAGGCUGCAACUCGCCUGCAUGAAGUUGGAAUCGCUAGUAAUCGCGUAUCAGCAAUGACGCGGUGAAUACGUUCCCGGACCUUGUACACACCGCCCGUCAAGCCAUGGAAGUCGGGAGGACCUGAAGGCAGUUGCUGUGAGGCGCUGUUUAGGGUUAAACUG
This 293-nucleotide ribosomal RNA is filed under the name Cytophaga sp. Its description in RNAcentral is "partial 16S ribosomal RNA". It matches the Rfam family "Bacterial small subunit ribosomal RNA", at positions 1170 to 1470 of the family's 1533-position model. The record is from RNAcentral. Lineage: Bacteria; Pseudomonadati; Bacteroidota; Cytophagia; Cytophagales; Cytophagaceae.